GCCCCAAAAGCAUGAACCUCUCAUGGUUCAUGAGGGCUGCAGUUGAAGCAGGGACUCGACAGUGCUGAGUGUGCUGAAGCUGUGGUUCUGGGAAUCGAGCCGUAAAUUUUUGAAGAUCACUGGUUGCUUUGGCAUAGUGCCGUCGAUAUGGAGAAAUUGAUCGGCAGCUGUUUUCUUCAUUAGUGAGAACUUGUAACCUGAGAGUGAUUAGCUUUCGGGACGAAGAAGAGGACAGCUCUGUUUUCUAAAAAUUUAACGAAGAAUUGUCUUCUUCGAUUUUUGCUGCGCGUAGGGGAGAUGGGUCUCCGCCACUCCCUUGUAGAGCUCGAGCUGGAAAGCCUGAAAACUGCUUGUGGGUGUACAAUGACACAGACCUAACGACUCAAGUUCUGAAGGAGCUUGUACAGAGUUACAAAAGCGUCUACCGCAACACCAUUAGCAAAGAUUUUCCUGCUGGUAUAGUUUGUCUUUCUUGUGUUUUAGUAAGUUGGGUUCAAUUAAACGCCAAACAAGAGACGAGAGAACGGGUGGAGGUUAGUGUUACAAUGGCAGAAAAAUUGUGCAUCUCUUGAAUGGUUUCUUGCAUCUUAGAAGGGAUCCAUGUUUUUGGACAGAUCUCUUGAGCAGUUGUGACUAGCUGUAAAUGCUGUCUACGAAUAAUGGAAUAGUUCACGAGCGGUGAAAUACCGACUCAUCUACCAGAUCACCGGCCUCAACGGCACAUCUGUCAAUGUGCUGGCAAUGGUGUUCGGGAGCAUGAGAGCUUCCUCUAGUAUUGGUGUGUUCUUCACUCGCAAUCCGAGCACCGGGGAGAAGAAACCAUAUGGAGAGUAUCUCAUCAGCGAAUAGGUUGGAUUCGUGCUCAAGCUUGGCUGUGCCUAUUAUUUGAUACGCAAUUUCUAACAGCUCAGAUGGCGUGGAUCAUAGACUGGUAUGCUUUUGAUUAUCACCAACACGUCUCGAUUCACCUGGAUCACUUCCUCAACAACUGCAGAUUGUUUGCUCAAUGUGGCCUUACGGAACAAUUCUGAGUGAUUCGAGUUAGAUCCAUUGUAAUGCGUAUGCCGGGUGAAGAUGUAGUAGCAGGCAUUCGGACUCCCGAAGACAUCGACACUGUGAAAUAUGUACCUCUACAUACCUACAAGGAACUUCGUGAGAAUUGUGAUAUAUUGGAGGCUCACUACAAGGAGAUGAUGGUACUUCCUCUGUGCCUUACUCCUGUGCAAUGCAUGAUGUGUCUGUUGGAUAUUACUCCUCAGUUAACAGUAAUACCUAGAUUCAUCAUUCAUCACAUAUGGACCCCACAUCUCAUUGCGGGCCAUCCUCUGUAAUCUCAUUAUAUAUUGAGAUUCUUCUUGUUCUUCACAGUUAAGUAAUACAGUUAUAUUCUUGUUCUCAUUC
Non-coding RNA from Physcomitrium patens, 1401 nucleotides. NCBI's taxonomy places the organism in Eukaryota, Viridiplantae, Streptophyta, Bryopsida, Funariales, Funariaceae. The record is from RefSeq and is a predicted model, not a curated record.